UACGUAGGGUGCAAGCGUUAUCCGGAAUUAUUGGGCGUAAAGAGCUCGUAGGCGGUCUGUCGCGUCUGCUGUGAAAUCCCGAGGCUCAACCUCGGGCUUGCAGUGGGUACGGGCAGGCUAGAGUGCGGUAGGGGAGAAUGGAACUCCUGGUGUAGCGGUGGAAUGCGCAGAUAUCAGGAAGAACACCGAUGGCGAAGGCAGUUCUCUGGGCUGACACUGAC
Molecule: ribosomal RNA, 221 nt
Filed under: uncultured bacterium
Lineage: Bacteria
Description: partial 16S ribosomal RNA
Rfam family: Bacterial small subunit ribosomal RNA
Source: RNAcentral